Molecule: long non-coding RNA, 2629 nt
Organism: Aedes albopictus (Asian tiger mosquito)
Lineage: Eukaryota; Metazoa; Arthropoda; Insecta; Diptera; Culicidae
Exons: 2
Source: RefSeq, a predicted model, not a curated record
ACAAGCUCAGUAGCGACAUCGACGAUGACUUUCCCACUCAAAAACUUGUUUCGACACCAUGAUGGCGCUUUCUGAAGAAAUAUUUCACUAGCGCACCUUUAAAUUUUCCUACUCAGAUUCUGAGCUGUAUUUGCUUAAAUAACAAGAUGUUUAUGAUUAUUUCACUAAUCCAGCAACAAAAUUUGAGCAACCCAUUGAUAAUAAGUUUCAUUAUUUUCAAUAAGAAACAAGUUGAACAAGAAUUCUAUUAAUGUUUUCCAAAUAAAACCAACACACUCUCUUGGUGGAACUAUACUAGGGUGCACACUUGGUGACACUAGCGCCAAAAGGUAAAACAACGGCAAAUUUGUACCCCGAUUCGAAAUUUGACAGCGCCGCGUAAUGGCCACAUUCCCAGUUAUUUCAAAACAACCGUUGCAAUGCUUUACACAACUGCACUACAUGAGCUUGGACGUCUGUUCUCUGUGGUGCAAGUUAGAGAAGGUCAAACCGUUAACCUCAGUUGCUCAGAUUUAAAACGAUCAAACCAAUGGAGGGUCGGUACACUGUAUAUCCCUUUCGGGACGGAGCACAAAAAAGUGAAGUUUCCACGGGAUGUGCUUAUUUCAACUCGUAGACUUUCCAACAAAACUACUUUAAUAGAAGAACUACUAUGUUACUUUCGAUUUCCAGCUUGCCUAACUAGAUAAAUAGGAUAUAAAGGUGUUGCGACACAUAAAACUAGUUCAUCUUUUUCAAAUUCUGUUUACUUUUUGUUUAAAUUGUUGUGGUAAAUAUCUGUGUCUCGCGGACUGACUCAAUAUGCUGUCUCAGCGGGAGCCAAACAUCGGGAGCCAAACAUUGAAGAUGUAGGUUAUGUUAAACCACAGAGAACAGACGAACAUGCUCGAACAAAAUUGCUUGAAAAUCUUGUGUAAAGAAAAAACAAGCUCAGUACACAGAGAACAGACGUCCAAGCUCAUGUAGUGCAGUUGUGUAAAGCAUUGCAACGGUUGUUUUGAAAUAACUGGGAAUGUGGCCAUUACGCGGUGCUGUCACAUUUUGAAUCGGGGUACAAAUUUGCCGUUGUUUUAGCUUUUGGCGCUAGUGUCACCAAGUGUGCACGAUAGUAUAGUUCCACCAAGAGAAUGUGUUGUUUUUACUUGGAAAACAAUAAUUGAAUUCUUGUUCAACUUGUUUCUUAUUGAAAAUAAUGAAACUAAUUAUCAAUGGGUUGCUCAAAUUUUGUUGCUGGAUUAGUGAAAUAAUCAUAAACAUCUUGUUAUUUAAGCAAAUACAGCUCAGAAUCUGAGUAGGUAAAUUUAAAGGUGCGCUAGUGAAAUAUUUCUUCAGAAAGCGCCAUCACGGUGUCGAAACAAGUUUUUGAGUGGGAAAGUCACCGUCGAUGUCGCUACUGAGCUUGUUUUUUCUUUACACAAGAUUUUCAAGCAAUUUUGUUCGAGCAUGUUCGUCUGUUCUCUGUGCUCAGUAGCAGUGUUGGUAAAAACUCAAAAUCUCAAACCUCAAGUCUCAAAAUCGAAUACCCGCAAUGACUCCCCAACAGCAACACCGGAUGAAAUGGACCUGGAACAUACCUACCGUUCAAUCGCAUACAUGCCUCACCUGUCGAAUCGCAUCGACAAGGAAAUCCAGAAAAACUACAAAAACAUACGACUUGCAACAUACAACUGGAAAUCUGUAGGAGGUUUGUUCACAAAAGUGAAGGAUCCGAUCCCCGAAGAUCAACAGACCGAUGUCAUCUACUCCAUCCCAUGCAACGACUGCUCUGCCUGCUACAUAGGCAUGACGACAAACAGGCUCAAAACAAGGAUCAGCGGCCACAAAACACACUACAACGUGCUAGACAGAUUACAGCAAACAGGAGUCAGCAUAACGAAUCCGCAAAUCAUCCAGCUCCAGCAGAAAACAGCCCUAAUGGAACACACGAUCGUCGAAAACCACCGAUUCAACCUAGAAAACACAAAAAUUUUAGACAAAACAAACAAAUCACACACACUCCCAUAUUUGGAAAUGUGUCACAUCGUGAACAACAGCAACUGCAUCAACCGAAGAACAGACACAGAGGGUUUAAAUGCAAUAUACGCAGGAAUACUUCACAAGCUAGGAACGAAAAAACAGAAAAACACAGAAAAUGUAAACACACACGGAACCACAACAAACACGGAUAAUACACAUACACACAACAUAAUCGAAACACCACUCACACAAGAUUGAAAAUGUCAAUAUCAGUCUCGAAAGCGUAGAGUGCAGGUGCAAGAAAAAAGCGUAGGCAGAAAGAAAUCACAGAAGCGAUAAAAAACAAGCUUUGUGCGAUUAAGCUGCUAUAAAGUUGCGAAACACAGUGUCGGGCGUAAAAAUCGACACACAUGCAGCACCAAAGACGCCAUUACAAACCAUCUACAGACACAAUACAGACAACCAAAUGUAGGCCACUACACAUGUUAACAAAAAUACAAACUCCUGUAAGUAGGGGAAAAUGGGGCACAUUGAGGGAAAGAAUCGGAAAUCAAUGUAUAUUCAAACACCAAAUUUUUAGAUCCCCUGAAGAAGGUUCAAUAAAGAACCGAAACGUCGGACGUAGGAGCAAAAACUGUGUUUGCUAACCACUCAGACUGCUAUUGCCGAAAAA